RNAcentral lists this ribosomal RNA (933 nucleotides) under Microbacterium sp. Its description in RNAcentral is "bacterial SSU rRNA". It matches the Rfam family "Bacterial small subunit ribosomal RNA", at positions 54 to 997 of the family's 1533-position model. Lineage: Bacteria; Bacillati; Actinomycetota; Actinomycetes; Micrococcales; Microbacteriaceae. The record is from RNAcentral.
CAUGCAGUCGAACGAUGAAGCCCAGCUUGCUGGGUGGAUUAGUGGCGAACGGGUGAGUAACACGUGAGCAACCUGCCCCUGACUCUGGGAUAAGCGCUGGAAACGGCGUCUAAUACUGGAUACGAACAAGAAUCGCAUGGUUACUUGUUGGAAAGAUUUUUCGGUUGGGGAUGGGCUCGCGGCCUAUCAGCUUGUUGGUGAGGUAAUGGCUCACCAAGGCGUCGACGGGUAGCCGGCCUGAGAGGGUGACCGGCCACACUGGGACUGAGACACGGCCCAGACUCCUACGGGAGGCAGCAGUGGGGAAUAUUGCACAAUGGGCGCAAGCCUGAUGCAGCAACGCCGCGUGAGGGAUGACGGCCUUCGGGUUGUAAACCUCUUUUAGCAGGGAAGAAGCGAGAGUGACGGUACCUGCAGAAAAAGCACCGGCUAACUACGUGCCAGCAGCCGCGGUAAUACGUAGGGUGCAAGCGUUAUCCGGAAUUAUUGGGCGUAAAGAGCUCGUAGGCGGUUUGUCGCGUCUGCUGUGAAAUCUGGGGGCUCAACCCCCAGCCUGCAGUGGGUACGGGCAGACUAGAGUGCGGUAGGGGAGAUUGGAAUUCCUGGUGUAGCGGUGGAAUGCGCAGAUAUCAGGAGGAACACCGAUGGCGAAGGCAGAUCUCUGGGCCGUAACUGACGCUGAGGAGCGAAAGGGUGGGGAGCAAACAGGCUUAGAUACCCUGGUAGUCCACCCCGUAAACGUUGGGAACUAGUUGUGGGGUCCAUUCCACGGAUUCCGUGACGCAGCUAACGCAUUAAGUUCCCCGCCUGGGGAGUACGGCCGCAAGGCUAAAACUCAAAGGAAUUGACGGGGACCCGCACAAGCGGCGGAGCAUGCGGAUUAAUUCGAUGCAACGCGAAGAACCUUACCAAGGCUUGACAUAUACGAGAACG